AUGAGAAGUGCUUCCUGCAGGGUCCUGGGGGGUCUCCUGGGUUGGCUACAGGGUGGUAGGCGGCUCUUGGGUGGGCAUCUCCCACCAAGCUGAGUGACUCAGCACACAGUACUUCUCUUCCUCGCCACGAAGGCCCAGAGGACCCAGGAGCACCAUAUAUACGACAGGGCAGCAACCAGCCUCUGUCCUGCCAGCCUGUGUGUGGGGACCACCUUGGGGCCACUACGCCCAUAGAGUUAAAAUCCGACAUAGCAGCCCACAUGGCUCCUUCCCCUUCUGAGGUUGUCCUGGAAACAGGCUUCCCCUGGGGUAGCCUGCUCGGCAUUUACGAAACUCGACACAUGAACCAAACUCCACGCUCAUCAGCUCCUCAGCUUUGCCCUUUGUGGGUGGGCCUCCGCACCCAGGCUGCGGCCUGGACCGCACCCCGCUGCCCUAGCAGGCUUCCUCCUUCUAUGCGGAGAGACUCCUCCCUCUUGGGGGUUGCCUGAGACAGGGCAGAACAGACUCCCAGAAUGCACAUGGGAGGAAGCCAUGCCCUCAUCGGCCCCAGGAAGAUGACUGGAGAAGGGGCCCAGAAAUACAGCUUCCACCCCCAGAUGUCCCAGACACAUCUGAGACCACCUGGUCCCACCAGUGACAUCACAAAAGAGUUCACCUGAUUAGCCCCAGGCCAUGGAGAAUGGGGGGGGAAAGAGCCCCCAGACACCAGUGCAAGGCGCUCACCUGGUGAAGGCCUUGCCCAACACCGAGGGUGGAGCUUAGACCUGUUUUUCCAUACUGAUUGCAAGAACCGGCCCAGGCUCUGCCACUGGUCUGGGCUAGAGUGAACGCUCUCUCCUUCCCGGCAGCUGCUUCCACAGAGGGAGCCACCUGGUCACUGGCCUUGGAUUAUUCAGGUUUCCAAAGAGGCCGUCAGUCAGGCGCAGAUGAUUCAGAGAAUUCGCCGCCUGCACUGACCUCUGAUCCACCUCUAUGAAUGUGGCUCUUCUAGAUCCCUCAUGCUACAGCAAGCAGCGGGGCAAGGCGUCGGCAGCCCCGGGAAGGAGAAAGGGCACUUACUUCAUGAUCAGAAUAUAAAACACAUACAAGAUGAUGAGCACCAGGCCUUCCCACCUCAAAGAGAGAAAGGAGAUUGCGGAGUCGUUCAUUAUUGUGGAAAAUCACAUCAUCAACAUCGGCACCACCCACGGGGUUUAGGAGAGAGCCCAACACUUGGGCAUCAGUCUGCAUUUGUACUAGACGGUCUCAGAGAUUGUUUGUGUAGGAGGGAACCAAUCCCUUCAUUGGCUCUCCUGGCUUCUUCAUGCCAAACCAUUUACAUACUGAAAGAUGUAUUCUUUUAUUAUAAAUUACAUUUAUUUCUCCUUUAUAUUAUAGUUAGGGCAUAUGUUGACCUGUUUGAAAUCGUGUAUCCGUAGAUUGUUUCAUCUGUAGAAUCAUCUCAGACAUCUACUUUUUGGAGGGUGUGGUAGGCAGCCUGUAGGGGGUCCCCAUGCUCCCACUGAAUCACAUUCAUGCUUCCCUAGCACGUGGGCUGCACCUGGUGACUUGCUUCUAACAAACAGAAUACAGCACAUGUGGCAGGUAUCACUCCCGAAAGCAGGUUAGGAAAAGGCUGUGGCUUCCAUCUUGGUGCCUCUGGCCCUUGCUCUGAGGGAAGCCCGCAACCCAGCUGAGAGCUGCCCUGUGGAACAGCCAGCAGCCCAAGGCCUGCCCACAGCCACAUGAGUGACCCUGCAAGAGCAGCCCCGCCCACCAAGCUCUGUGAUGAUGCUACCCUGGCUAAUGCCUUAACCGCAGCCUAGCAGAGGACCUGGCCUAGAGGACCCAGCUAUACCAUU
Molecule: non-coding RNA, 1844 nt
Organism: Macaca mulatta (Rhesus monkey)
Lineage: Eukaryota; Metazoa; Chordata; Mammalia; Primates; Cercopithecidae
Source: RefSeq, a predicted model, not a curated record